RNAcentral lists this long non-coding RNA (1380 nucleotides) under Homo sapiens (human). RNAcentral's name for it is "LHRI_LNC1790.1". The record is from RNAcentral. Lineage: Eukaryota; Metazoa; Chordata; Mammalia; Primates; Hominidae.
CGGAUCCUCCCGCCUGGGGUCGGCCGCCCGCGUGUCCCGGCAGCGCCCCGCGCUGGGCUCUGGUGGCCCCGGGCACUGCGGCGAGGAAGUCCCGGGCGGCGCGCGCAGGAAGCCGGGGCAGGCGGAGGGGACGCGGGGCGCCCGGGGGCAGCGGCCUAGUGUCGCCCUCGCCGCGUGGGGGGCGGGACACUGGGUCGCCCCACUGGGCUCGGCGCCUCUCGGGGCGACAAGCGGGCGCGCGCCCGGCUCAGGGCCACCCUGCGCGCCUGGGGGUGGCCGGCACCGGGGCCCGGGGGGUUAACUCCCUCCGGAGGUCUCGGGCGUGUCUCUUCGGGUUGCCGGGCCCAGGGGCCAGGCGCGCCUCCGCCAGUUUACAAAGGAAACAGCCUCCUUCCCCCGCGGCAGGGGCUCCCCGACCCGCGGGCGAGGAGUGGGAGGUGACGGCGCCGGACCCCCUUCCCCCAGGCGCCCGGCUCCCGCGCCUUCAGGCGUCAAAGCCCCCGACUUCCCCGAGCACCAGCACGUCCGCACCCGGCUCAGAACGCAGGGGCCCGGCCUGCUGCGGUGACCUUGGCCCCGGGCCGGGCUUCUGAGCCGGACUUGCAGCGCCUGACGAGGCCUGGAGGCGGGGCGGGGGACCGCGUAGUUGUCCUGGCGACCCAGCGCCGCCGGGCAGGGCUCCUCCCAGCCUGGGAAUUGAGGACCACCGCCCCUGGUGCCACUGGGGACCGUCGGGUCGCUGGCGCCUGUCGACCUCGCCCUCCGGCGGCCGCGCGGCAGUGGGAGCCUCAGAGAGGAGCCAGGGCGGAGUGAGGGAGCCCGCGGGGCCUGGGACACCUGACCGUCCGGCUAGAACAGGGGUAGGGACCGAGGCCGAAUGAGCCAGAGUUCUGGCCGGGGACAGUCCCAGAGGAGGCCUGGAAGCCCAGUGAGUGUCUGUCCUCCUCUGUGUGGCCUGGGGCUCCCGCCAACACUAAGCCCUUCCUGGGGCCUCAGGCACCUCAAGGCGCCCCGUUCUCCAGGGUCAGCCAGCCCCUGCCCACUGGUUGCCAGGCUUGCAGUGGAGCCUGCCUGCUGUCCUGCCCACAGGCCUCUGCAGCUGCCCCCUCCAGGGGUGGGGCUGACUUUGGAGGAAAAAUGCCAGGCAGCAGGGACCCCCUCGCCACCCUGCUCCAGGUUGGGCUGAGCGGCCAUCCUGAGGCUGCCCACUUGCUUGGCUCUUCUUCCUGCCUGCUGGAGAGGCCUGCUGGGCACUGCCCUUUCUGAGCAUUGGGGACUGCCAGGGUGAAUCAGCAUUCAGGCUGGUGGGGCCAGCAUGGGGUGGGGCUAAUGCACAGGGGGCUGUAUGUGGGUGGAGGGAUCCAGAAAGAGUGUCCAGGG